Molecule: ribosomal RNA, 497 nt
Filed under: uncultured bacterium
Lineage: Bacteria
Description: partial 16S ribosomal RNA
Rfam family: Bacterial small subunit ribosomal RNA
Source: RNAcentral
GACGAACGCUGGCAGCGUGCCUAAUACAUGCAAGUUGAGCGCUGAAGGUUGGUACUUGUACCAACUGGAUGAGCAGCGAACGGGUGAGUAACGCGUGGGGAAUCUGCCUUUGAGCGGGGGACAACAUUUGGAAACGAAUGCUAAUACCGCAUAAAAACUUUAAACACAAGUUUUAAGUUUGAAAGAUGCAAUUGCAUCACUCAAAGAUGAUCCCGCGUUGUAUUAGCUAGUUGGUGAGGUAAAGGCUCACCAAGGCGAUGAUACAUAGCCGACCUGAGAGGGUGAUCGGCCACAAUGGGACUGAGACACGGCCCAAUCUCCUACGGGAGGCAGCAGUAGGGAAUCUUCGGCAAUGGACGAAAGUCUGACCGGGCAACGCCGCGGGAGUGAAGAAGGGUUUCGGAUCGUAAAACUCUGUUGGUAGAGAAGAACGUUGGUGAGAGUGGAAAGCUCAUCAAGUGACGGUAACUACCCAGAAAGGGACGGCUAACUACGUG